UCUCCGUAGGUGAACCUGCGGAGGGAUCAUUACUGAGUGAGGGUCUCCGGGCCCGACCUCCAACCCCAUGUGAACCGAAACCUGUUGCUUCGGGGGCGACCCUGCCGUUUCGACGGCGAGCGCCCCCGGAGGCUCAUCAAACACUGCAUCUUUGCGUCGGAGUCUUAAUGAAUUUAAACAAAACUUUUAACAACGGAUCUCUUGGUUCUGGCAUCGAUGAAGAACGCAGC
RNAcentral lists this unclassified non-coding RNA (230 nucleotides) under uncultured fungus. Its description in RNAcentral is "sequence contains ITS1, 5.8S rRNA gene". The stretch from base 182 to 230 matches the Rfam family "5.8S ribosomal RNA", at positions 1 to 49 of the family's 154-position model. Lineage: Eukaryota; Fungi. The record is from RNAcentral.